RNAcentral lists this unclassified non-coding RNA (659 nucleotides) under Hevea brasiliensis (rubber tree). The record is from RNAcentral. Lineage: Eukaryota; Viridiplantae; Streptophyta; Magnoliopsida; Malpighiales; Euphorbiaceae.
GGCAACUUCUUCUACUCAUAGACUUAAUGGGGAAGCCUCUAAUUUGGUGACUGCUUCUACUCCUUGUGUAAUUAAUACGCAAAUCUCUAACUUGGCGACUUCCUCUAUUCAUGGACUAAAUGGAGAAGCCUCUAGUUUGGUGACUGCUUCUAUGGCUCAUGAACUUAAUGAACACGUCUCUACAUCAGUGACUAAUUCUACUCCUAAUGAACCUAAAUGUCCAAGUUUCUGAUUCAGUGAUUGCUUCUUCUCUUCAUGAAUUUAUUCCUAUUGAGAUCAAUCGUUUUAAUGGGAAGAAUCAUCAAUUCUGGGCAACCCUUAAGGAAUUGUUCUUAAAGCAAUAGAAGAUUGAAACCAUGCCCUAGUGUUGCUGUAAGACCAGAAGCAAGUGCUGAAGAAAUUGCACAAGACAAAGCUGCUGAGCAAAGUGGUUUAGUGAUGAUCAUCUGUGUCGCUACAACAUCUUUGACUUCUCUAUCUGAUGCUCUUUAUUAUCAAUAUUCAAAGAAGACUAAGAGCGCCAGAGAACCAUGGGAAGAGCCAAAAUUAGUUUAUCUUUAUGAGGAGUUCGGAAAGAAGAGAUCUCAAGUUAGAAAUUACAUUGAAUUUCAGAUAGUAGAUGAAAAACCAAUUCUUGACUAAGUUCAAGAACUUGAUAG